CACGUAGUUAGCCGGGGCUUCUUAAUCAGGUACCGUCUGGCGACCCAAAGGUCGCUAUUUCUUCCCUGUCUGAUAGAGCUUUACAUACCGAAAUACUUCUUCACUCACGCGGCGUCGCUGCAUCAGGGUUUCCCCCAUUGUGCAAUAUUCCCCACUGCUGCCUCCCGUAGGAGUUUGGGCCGUGUCUCAGUCCCAAUGUGGCCGUUCACCCUCUCAGGCCGGCUACUGAUCGUCGCCUUGGUGAGCCAUUACCCCGCCAACAAGCUAAUCAGACGCGGAACCAUCGUAUACCACCGGUAGUUUUUCACACCACUUCAUGCGAAGCUGUGCGCUUAUGCGGUAUUAGCACCUUAUUUACUAAGUGUUAACUCCCCAGUAUACGGCUAGGUUUUCCACGUCGUUACUCACCCGUCCGCCACUAACUACAUAAUACUACUAGGUUACUAAUAUGACGUCCCGUUCGUACUUGUCACUAGUCGUUAAGACCGACGCCG
Molecule: ribosomal RNA, 494 nt
Filed under: uncultured Lachnospiraceae bacterium
Lineage: Bacteria; Bacillati; Bacillota; Clostridia; Lachnospirales; Lachnospiraceae
Description: partial 16S ribosomal RNA
Source: RNAcentral